AGUGGGGUUGUUAGGAAGAUAAACUGAGUUAAUGUACCAGAGGUGCAGAGACCAGUGUGCCACUCUGGAUCUGCCAUCACCAGCGUCUCCUUCAUCACCCUGCUGGGAGCAGCUUCGGAGCGAAAUCAGCGCCUGUCUUAAGAUCUGUGGUUUGGCUCUGGUUCUCCGGAACUCACUUGGGAUUGGCUCGAGGCUAAAUCCUCCUGCUACAUCCCCACGGUGAGGAGCCCGACCCUGUGGGAGAGAAGGAAAUCCCAGGCAAUCCCAGCCUCAUCAUGAAAGAACUGACUUGUUCUGCUCCAGAUCCACUGGUCACAUGAAGAAUUUCUCCAAACCUCUUAAACCUAGCAGUCUACAUUUUCUGCAUUUUCCAGGUAAGAGAAUCUACAUGUUAUCAACAGUGGUUGCUGUGGUUUCCCAAGGAUAGAAUGGCAUCUGCUCACCAGAGUUCACGUGAUGACUGAGCAGUGUACAUUCUGCAGCAUGUAGGCAUUGGAUCGGAGCGACAGGUCCCAGGAUGCUCUACGUUGGACACGCUGCGACAUCUGCCAGCUCUUUGACAAGGGACAGAAAAUCCAACUCAACCGAUCUGGAGCUGAAGAUGAGAUGGAUCCUACUCAAGACACAGGGAUAAGAGGGAUCUAUUUUCAAAGGAAACAAGACAGUCUUAGCAAAAGAAGAGAAAUGGAGGCGACUUUUUGGCAAAUACUGCAUCUUCAGCCAGGAGAAGUUGGCUGAGGACAAAAGGGCUUUUGAAGCGGUGUGGAAUUGCUGCAUUCUGUGGUAUGGAGAACCCUCCAUACUGUUCUCUACAGUAGGCUGCACCAACUCACAUUCCCACGAACAAGUGAGAUGUUUGCAGCUCUUACUACUAAGAAGUGGAAUCCACUGCAUCCCUCUUCUCACACCCCUUGAAUCUGGGUUGGCCCUGAGACUUAGAUGGGCCGAUACAAUGCUGAGGAAGCAAUGGUGUGCCAGUGCUAAACCUAGGCAUCAAGUGGCUCUGAAUACUUCAGCCCCUAUGCGAGCAAGCAAGCCUAGGCUGGCCUACCGCAGAGUGGAAGAUCACAUGCAAGGGAGACAAACCAUCCUGACUGAGGCCAUCCUGGACCAGCCAGCUCCUGCCUUACUAGCCAGCUGACCACAGACAUAAGGCCACUCUCCCCAAUGUCUGGUCACAUCCACGCAGAGAGAUGCAGCUCAGAAAUGAGAGGGGACCAGCAGCUGUGUGAGUCAACCGAACUGCAGAGUCUUCCGCCUGUGCCACCAAAAGCAAUCAGGCUGUGAAACUUUCCAGAGCGUUCCAUCUACCUCACACACUGUGCAAAUCGAGGGCUUCAGGAUACAUAGGUGAAAAUCACUUCCUCAUCAAAAUAUUUGCGGGCACUUUGAAAAGAUCACCGCCUCACAUGUGGAGUUUACUUCUGUGGGUGAAGGUGCACAGAGUCAACGUUAAGCACAUGACCUUGCUCCUUUUUAAGAUUAACAAAAGAGUGUGCAAAAGGAACUUAAGAUUCUUUCCAUCUAGUAUUAGCUGCCUGGAUCUUCAAAGUACCUCCAAGGGCACGUUCCGCCAAAAAGCAGAUGGUGGAAAAGCCCUCGUGUUCUUCCUGCUCUGUUGUCCAGUGACUGAGCCGUGUGCCUGACAGGUGUCCGAAUCUGAUUUUGUGUCACUCAGUGCAACCCUGCAUUAGCUGUGGCUGCCAAAGAAAUGACCUCAACAUUUAGCACCCGAAGGCAGCAGUGAACAUUUUCGGUCUCGGGGUCUGUAGGCCAGGAGCUCAGGAGCAGCUGAGGUGAGUGGUUUUGGCUCAGGGUCUCUCAGGAGAUGGUGCUCGAGAUGUCAGCCAAGAUUGCAGUCACCUGAAGGCUUGCCAGGCGCUAGAUUUGUUUGGAGGACUAUUUAUUUACCCAGCCAUCAAGUCCAUCCUUCAUGGGCUCACCACGUGCAUCUCUGCACUGAGCUGCUUGAAUGUCCUUAUACGUGACGACUGAUCCCCACAAUGCAAGUGAUCUAAGAGAGAACAAGGGGGAAGCCAUCAUAUGACCUGGUCUCGUUGUCAGUCAGGCUCCGUCACUUCGGUAAUGUCUUGUUGGUUGCAUAGGUCAACCCUAUUCAACGUAGGAGAGGACUACUCAGGGUAGGAAUACAGGAGGAGCGAAUCAGCAGGGGCCAUCUGGGAGUGGCUGCCACAGACUCCACAGCAGAGCUCCGGACUCAGGUACUGCUCUGGGUGGAAAAAGGCGUCGUUCCCACUCAACUCAUGGGGUAGAUGUAAGUCUAUGCUGAAUCAGAGACCUCAGGAGCAAAAUCACAGGCUAUCUCACCAUUUUUCUGUUAAUGUGUGUCUGUCUCAUCCAGGGAAUAUAAAGACCUCUGUUUCUCAUUUAGUCAUUUAUUAAUCCUUUCAUGUAACAAAAAUUUACCGAGGAUCUACUACCUGUCGGGCACUGUGAUAAGUAUUCGGUAACAGCAAUAAAAAGCACAUCUAGAAUGUACCCUCCAGGAUUCCACUGCCACCUUUCACAGAAGGGUACCAGUGAAGUACCGUUUCCUCUUGGAAAGUUCUCCUAACAUUCUAGGUUUGUGGCUCUUUAUUUUGUCCUUAGGGAAAACCUGACUUGUUCGAGGGUCUUACCCCAAUUGCCAUGCUCUCUAAGGAUCAAAGAACGACCAGACCCAGGAAAAUGUUAGGCAGAUAAGAUACAUUUCCCAACCAGUGCAGGGAAGAACAUUUUGGAAAAGGUCACCUGAACAAGCACAGAUCUACAAAAGGUGCAGUAUUUACAACUGUUACCGUAGAGAUGAUACCUGGUCUCCAGUUUUCAGGAUCCAGCUCAUAACAGUACCUUGGGUAUUGAAGUGCAUGUUUUACGCUAUCGUAAAACUGGACGUGUUAAUCAUGUCCUUUGAGUAAAAAUAUUGCACUAAUAUAAGAAGUGACUGAAAUAGGAGUUCCCUGGUGGCCUACCAGGUUGAGGAUCUGGCUUUGUCCCUGCCACGGUGUGUGUUCAAUCCCUAGCCCGGGACUUUCCCCAUGCCUUGGACACAACCAAAAAAA
This 3062-nucleotide long non-coding RNA is filed under the name Sus scrofa (pig). Its description in RNAcentral is "lncRNA (ENSSSCG00030030473.1)". Lineage: Eukaryota; Metazoa; Chordata; Mammalia; Artiodactyla; Suidae. The record is from RNAcentral.